UGGACUGCGCUAACCAUGGCAACAUGGCUUCUCUUUCAGAGCUGACUCACAUCUGGCCAGAGAGAAGUAAAGACAGCUGGAGCUCACAUCUGCCUGGAAAAUAGCACAUAGACAUACCCAUACGUAUGCUGGCCAACCCUGUAAUUAUAGACAAAGCCUACAAGAACUAAAAGAGGCCAACUGUAACUCAUCAAGGCCUUUUCCACUGAACGUACAUUUUGCUAAAAGAGAAUCUUGAAGAAAUUUUACAGGUCAUCAAGGUUGUGUCUGUCCUACUACCAGUCCAAGGAAUCUCCGAGCAGAGUCAACCAAGCAAAAACUCACCUCCAUCUAUUGACACGAAUGGGCAGAUGCUGAGGUGGUGUGAGAUGAUUUUCAAUGAGGUCAGUAAGCCUGUCUCUAUUUACAACCAGCUGUUGAUCCUGCAUUUUCAAGACCAUAUAACUGAGGUUUGGUACAAUAUAAAUAUAAUUCACUGAUUCUCUUUCAAUUUGUUAUUGAUUUUUGCAACUGU
RNAcentral lists this long non-coding RNA (514 nucleotides) under Dromaius novaehollandiae (emu). RNAcentral's name for it is "lncRNA (ENSDNVG00000010976.1)". The record is from RNAcentral. Lineage: Eukaryota; Metazoa; Chordata; Aves; Casuariiformes; Dromaiidae.